CCUACGGGGGGCAGCAGUGGGGAAUAUUGGACAAUGGGCGAAAGCCUGAUCCAGCCAUGCCGCGUGUGUGAAGAAGGCCUUCGGGUUGUAAAGCACUUUCAGUGGGGAAGAAAGCCUUGGGGCUAAUACCCUCGAGGAAGGACAUCACCCACAGAAGAAGCACCGGCUAACUCCGUGCCAGCAGCCGCGGUAAUACGGAGGGUGCGAGCGUUAAUCGGAAUUACUGGGCGUAAAGCGCGCGUAGGCGGUCUGAUAAGCCGGUUGUGAAAGCCCCGGGCUCAACCUGGGAACGGCAUCCGGAACUGUCAGGCUAGAGUGCAGGAGAGGAAGGGAGAAUUCCCGGUGUAGCGGUGAAAUGCGUAGAGAUCGGGAGGAAUACCAGUGGCGAAGGCGGCCUUCUGGACUGACACUGACGCUGGGGUGCGAAAGCGUGGGUAGCAAACAGGAAUAAACCCCAGUAGUC
This 463-nucleotide ribosomal RNA is filed under the name Vreelandella stevensii. RNAcentral describes it as "partial 16S ribosomal RNA". It matches the Rfam family "Bacterial small subunit ribosomal RNA", at positions 338 to 795 of the family's 1533-position model. Lineage: Bacteria; Pseudomonadati; Pseudomonadota; Gammaproteobacteria; Oceanospirillales; Halomonadaceae. The record is from RNAcentral.